Molecule: ribosomal RNA, 542 nt
Filed under: uncultured crenarchaeote
Lineage: Archaea; Thermoproteati; Thermoproteota
Description: bacterial SSU rRNA
Rfam family: Archaeal small subunit ribosomal RNA
Source: RNAcentral
CCCAGGCCCUACGGGGCGCAGCAGGGGCGAAACCUCCACAAUGCACGAAAGUGUGAUGGGGUUACCUCGAGUGCCGUCUGAAAAAGGCGGCUUUUCCAUGGUGUAAUGCGCCGUGGGAAUAAGGGGGGGGCAAGACUGGUGUCAGCCGCCGCGGUAACACCAGCCCCCCGAGUGGUGGGGACGUUUACUUGGCCUAAAGCGUCCGUAGCCGGCUCGGUAAAUCUCUCGUUAAAUCCGGCGUCCCAAGCGUCGGACUGCGAGAUAGACUGCCGGGCUAGAGGGUGGGAGAGGUCGGCGGUAUUCCCGGGGUAGGGGCGAAAUCCAUUGAUCCCGGGAGGACCACCAGUGGCGAAGGCUGCCGACUAGAACACGCCUGACGGUGAGGGACGAAAGCUGGGGUAGCGAAUCGGAUUAGAUACCCGAGUAGUCCCAGCCGUAAACGAUGCAGGCUAGGUGUUGGGUCGGCCAUGCGCCGACCCAGUGCCACAGGGAAGCCAUUAAGCCUGCCGCCUGGGGAGUACGGCCGCAAGGCUGAAACUUAA